AUGGACGGGAACAGGCCCGCACGACCACGUCCGCGCGCACAAACGCACGGCCCACACGUCCGUUCCGUGCCAACCCCGCCCGCACUGCCCCAUCCGGGCAAGCCGACCCACUGCCCGCACGACCAACCAGUUCCCGGUCUCCGAUCCAUCCCCUCCCUCGUCUGCCGCCAUCGUCCCCCACCUCUCGAACCCCCGACCUCCGUCGCCGGCCAUCUCUGGUUGCCAUGGCAAACAGAGCAGAUCCAGAUUGAGAACACAUUGGAAAAGAAGGGAGACACGGAAAGAAUGAAUCACGAAGGUGGCGCUGGUGAUUGGGGUUCUCAAAGGCCAGAAACAGCCCCUUGGGAUGCAACAGAGUACAGUCAUCUCAUCUCUUCAGGGCCAUUGCUGCCACUACUGGAACAGUAUGCAGGCCUAGGUUCUUAUGACCAAAACACAAUUAGGGAGGCCCCGUGGCAAGUUCACUCGCAAGGCGCUAACACUGACAAAUGUACGGGCAACCAACUUCAACUAGCUUGUAUGGACAAUCAAGCCUUCGUGCAGCGCGUGGCAUCAGUCACCGCCAAUGUACCUGCCAUCGACGUCAUACACAGGUGGGGGAGUCAUUUUGGUGUCCCAGGCAACACGGGAAGGUCGAAUGCAACACACCAAGGGCCUACAACUACAGUUAACAGCAGCGCAGGGACAUCUACUGCGGGGAGCUCUGAGCGCACGGAAGACGCGUUCCACCAGCCAGCAGACACUCGUGCUGCAGACAAUUUCAAGUCACAGUCGGGAAUGGCAAUCAUUCCAGCAAUACAAACAAGCACCCCUUUGAACACAAUCACUGACAACACUCAAGUAGAAGGAACUGCCGCCGAUACUGAAGUGAAUGAUGAAAGUGACGACGAGGCAGAAGAUGAUGAAGAUGGUGGGCAAUCAGAGAUCAUGGUACCUCAUCCACCGUACAUUGGGCAGAGAUUUGAAUCGUUCGAGGAAGCAAAGGAAUACUACCAGACAUAUGCAAAGUUCCAUGGAUUUGCGGUAAACACCGAGUACCAUAGAAAAAUUAAGAAAACUAAUGAGUACAGUAGAGGUGAGAUGAGGUGCCACAAGGCACGGAGGAACAAGAAGGUGAAAGGUGCUGCGCCUAUCGUUCCGGAACGAAAAAGAGGAAUCAUUCUCAAGACGGGAUGCCCUGUCCGGUGUAAGCUAAACAUAGAUGGAACAGAGUAUGUGGUCACUGAAUAUUUUGACGAGCACAACCACAGUCUCAUAAAGAAGUUCGACCUGGUCAAAUUUCUGACCGCCCACAGAGGAUUCACCCCAGUCGAAAGACAAUUCGUAAAGCUGCUACAUGACUGUAACGUCGGUCCAUCAAGAAUGGUCCAGAUACUAUCACUCAUCCACAGCAAAAAGGGGAAACUGAGUAGCAUGCCCUACAUACUGGCUGACGUCACAAACCUACAGGCCAAGAUAAGGUUGGACGAUGAGGACUGUGUCAGGAACAUGUAUUGGGUGGAUGGUGCUGCAAGGAGAGCCUACAAACAUUUCCGAGAUUGCAUUUCGUUCGACGCGACGUACCUCACCAAUAUGUACAAGAUGACAUGCGCUCUGUUCAUAGGAAUAAAUAACCACAAUCAGUCAUUGCAGUUCGGCUGCGGGCUCAUUCAGAAUGAAGACACGGAUGGGUACGUCUGGUUGUUCAAGACCUUCUUGGAGUGCAUGGAUGGACUUGCUCCGAUGAACAUAAUAACAGACCAGGAUUUUAGCAUGCGUGCAGGCAUAGAGGGGGUCUUUCCGUUGGCAGUGCACAGGCACUGCAGGUGGCACAUAAUAAAGAAGGCCGAGGAGACCCUAGGACCGUUCUUUGCUGACCGUCCAGAGCUGCACAAGGCAUUCGAGCUAUGCGUGGACCACAGCCUGACGGUCGAGGAGUUUGAAAGGAGCUGGAUGGCCAUGGUUGAAACACAUCAAGUCCAAGACAAUGAGACGCUUGCUAGUCUGUGGGAGAAGCGAAUGUACUGGGUGCCCGCCUACUUCAUGCAGUGCUUCUUCCCUUUUCUACAGACUACGCAGCGCAGCGAGGGGUUCAAUGCUGUGUUGAAGCGAUACGUGAGCCCUGGCAACUCAUUGCUACAGUUGCCAAGCAGUACACAGCUCUGCAACAAAAAAUUCUGGGAUCUGAGCUCCAGCAAGAAGCUACCACCGUGCUAA
This 2196-nucleotide ribosomal RNA is filed under the name Triticum aestivum (bread wheat). RNAcentral's name for it is "partial small subunit ribosomal RNA". The record is from RNAcentral. Lineage: Eukaryota; Viridiplantae; Streptophyta; Magnoliopsida; Poales; Poaceae.